AUUGAACGCUGGCGGCAGGCCUAACACAUGCAAGUCGAGCGAGCGGCGGACGGGUGAGUAAUGUAUGGGAAACUGCCUGAUGGAGGGGGAUCACUACUGGAAACGGUAGCUAAUACCGCAUACCAUCAGCUGAACCCAUAUGGGAUUAGCUUGUAGGUGGGGUAAAGGCUCACCUAGGCGACGAUCCCGAGCUGGUCUGAGAGGAUGACCAGCCACACUGGAACUGAGACACGGUCCAGACUCCUACGGGAGGCAGCAGGGGGGAAUAUUGCACAAUGGGCGCAAGCCUGAUGCAGCCAUGCCGCGUGUGUGAAGAAGGCCUUCGGGUUGUAAAGCACGUUCAGCGAGGAGGCGUUACUCGCAGAAGAAGCACCGGCUAACUCCGUGCCAGCAGCCGCGGUAAUAC
Molecule: ribosomal RNA, 406 nt
Filed under: uncultured bacterium
Lineage: Bacteria
Description: partial 16S ribosomal RNA
Rfam family: Bacterial small subunit ribosomal RNA
Source: RNAcentral